Molecule: long non-coding RNA, 777 nt
Organism: Choloepus didactylus (southern two-toed sloth)
Lineage: Eukaryota; Metazoa; Chordata; Mammalia; Pilosa; Megalonychidae
Exons: 5
Source: RefSeq, a predicted model, not a curated record
CCGGCCUCCCAGUCACCUUGCCUACCCCGAGAGCAGAGUCUCCAGUCCAUCUGCCUGGCUGGACUUGGCUGGAUCCUCUUUGGCAGCUGGGAGUCACAGGCAGCCUGAGAGCUAUGCUGCAGCAGCUUGACUCCCAGUCCACUCAGCAAGGACCCCAGAGCUCAGGCUUGCUGGGAACCUGGGUUGAGACUUCUUGGGUUUCUUUCCAGUCUCUACCAUCAGAGUGCCGGUUCCUGGAGUGAGGAAUGAAGCUUGGCAGGUAUAAACCCAUGUCAUUUUCGCUUUUCUGAAUUGCUGGCCGAUCAUCAGGACCAGAGGAGCACAUAAAUGGGCGUGAAAGUUAAACAUUAUCUCAGGAUCUCAUCAUCCCUGCUGAAGUCAGAGAGCCCAUUUCAAUGUGACAUCUCCCAAGGCCGUACCUGGCCUACAGAGGACCGCCUACGCAGACAGAGCUUUGCAAGGAUACUGCCCUCUGGAAGAUGGCCUCCUGCCCCCAGGCUGCAGCACCUGUGGGACCCAGGGAGCAUCUCUCUAAAACUGGAGUGCAGACAAAGCCUCAGCUUGCCCACAGUCACCCCCCACUUCAUUUGAAUAUUCUGAAUGGAGCUGAUUGCCUAAAUUGAAGGUAUUAUGCGAUAAUGAUUGUUAUAAUUAAAACUAUUAUCAUCUGAAAGAGAUCAGAACAUGGGAAAACCACUGCAAAGACUUUUAAAGCUUUUAAAGCAUGUUUUUGAUUCAGAUAAAAGCGCCUUUGUGUGGAUGUUUUAAAGAGGGGGA